This 532-nucleotide ribosomal RNA is filed under the name Cephalonomia hypobori. RNAcentral's name for it is "eukaryotic LSU rRNA". It matches the Rfam family "Eukaryotic large subunit ribosomal RNA", at positions 355 to 664 of the family's 3401-position model. Lineage: Eukaryota; Metazoa; Arthropoda; Insecta; Hymenoptera; Bethylidae. The record is from RNAcentral.
GAGGGAAAGUUGAAAAGAACUUUGAAGAGAGAGUUCAAGAGUACGUGAAACCGUUCAGGGGUAAACCUGAGGAACCCGAAAGAUCGAAUGGGGAGAUUCAACGUCAGCAACGCUGGCCUGCCGAUGGCUAGUGAUGCCUUUGGUACUUCGGUAUCAGUGGCACGCUGUCGUCGCGCAAGUCCGGUGGCGUCGGCGUGCACUUCUCCCCUAGUAGGACGUCGCGACCCGUUGGGUGCCGGUCUAAGGCUCGGGCGGUAGCCUGUCUCGUCGUUUCGGCGAAUCGAGGCAGACCCCCGAAUGCCAGUCGCCGGCUGCCCGGCGGUACUCGCAUGGUAUAGGGCCGCAGAAUCGAACUGCGUCGGGCCCGUCGCAAGCGCGAUCAGUGUUUCACGGAGGUCGGACCUAGUGCCGUCCCCGUGCCUGAUCAGCUGUUGGUUGACGGUGCUCUCCGACUGGCCAAUCGAACGAAACUAGAAUACCGGUCGGCGACGCUACUGCUUUGGGUAAUCUCAGGACCCGUCUUGAAAACCGG